Molecule: long non-coding RNA, 684 nt
Filed under: Rattus norvegicus (Norway rat)
Lineage: Eukaryota; Metazoa; Chordata; Mammalia; Rodentia; Muridae
Description: long non-coding RNA NONRATT028946
Source: RNAcentral
UUCGGAAGGCGCAAGCGCAAGGCAACACGUGUACAACAGUGUUCCUGUGCCCCUAUGCACGAGAAUGUCUGUGUGUUUUUGAAGGUCUGGGUAUAAGUGCUUCUCUCCGCUUUGGCCGGGGUGGGGUGGGGGUGAGGGGCGCCUGGAGGUAGGUGUUUUCCGGUCUGCCUGCCUGCUUGUAGGUCUCUUUUCUGUUGAUCUCUGCAUAUGACUGCGUGUAUUUCCGAAAGUUUAUGUGUGUCCCUCAGCUGUGCGUUUCUUCCCCCGCCUGUCCCUCCCCACCCCCAGGUCCUUGCUUGCUAGUAAUAUCUUUUUCCUUGCGUCUUUUUUCUUUUUUUAAACAUUUAUUUAUGUUGGUGGGGGGACACAUAGGGAGGUCAAGUCCAGACUUGCUGGAAUCCAUUCAUCCUUUCCACGGCUGUGAAUUCCAAGGAUUAAAGUCAGAUUGUCAGGCUUGUCAAGAGCCUUCACCUGUAGCUCCUCCCCUUUUCAUAUUUUAUUUAUGGGGGAGGAUGUGUAUGGAGGUCAGAGGACAGUUUCAAGAAUUGUUUGUUUGCUUUCACUCUAUGGGUCCUGGAUAUCGAACUUCCAUGCCUGUGUAUGGGUUGACUUUUAAUUUUUUGAGACAGUGUCUCUUUAUGUGACCCUGGCUGACCUAGAACUCCCUAUGUAGAUCAGGCAGGC